RNAcentral lists this ribosomal RNA (517 nucleotides) under uncultured marine bacterium. RNAcentral's name for it is "bacterial SSU rRNA". It matches the Rfam family "Bacterial small subunit ribosomal RNA", at positions 384 to 916 of the family's 1533-position model. The record is from RNAcentral.
UGACGGAGCACGCCGCGUGAGGGAUGAAGGCCUCUGGGCUGUAAACCUCUUUUAUCAUGGAAGAAAAUCUGACGGUACUUGAUGAAUAAACCACGGCUAAUUCCGUGCCAGCAGCCGCGGUAAUACGGGAGUGGCAAGCGUUAUCCGGAAUUAUUGGGCGUAAAGCGUCCGCAGGCGGCCCUUCAAGUCUGCUGUUAAAAAGUGGAGCUUAACUCCAUCAUGGCAGUGGAAACUGUUGGGCUUGAGUGUGGUAGGGGCAUAGGGAAUUCCCGGUGUAGCGGUGAAAUGCGUAGAUAUCGGGAAGAACACCAGUGGCAAAGGCGCUCUGCUGGGCCAUCACUGACGCUCAUGGACGAAAGCCAGGGGAGCGAAAGGGAUUAGAUACCCCUGUAGUCCUGGCCGUAAACGAUGAACACUACGUGUCGGGGGAAUCGACCCCCUCGGUGUCGUAGCCAACGCGUUAAGUGUUCCGCCUGGGGAGUACGCACGCAAGUGUGAAACUCAAAGGAAUUGACGG